GCCCGGAGAUAGCUGGUUCUCCCCGAAAUAGCUUUAGGGCUAGCCUCAAGGUGAGAGAUACGGAGGUAGAGCACUGAAUGUCCUAGGGGGUAUUGCACCUACCGAAGACUAUCAAACUCCGAAUGCCGUCAUCUUAUACUUGGGAGUCAGACUGUGGGUGAUAAGAUUCAUAGUCGAAAGGGCAACAGCCCAGAUCGUCAGCUAAGGUCCCUAAAUGUAAGUUAAGUGGUAAAGGAUGUGGGAUUGCACAGACAACCAGGAUGUUGGCUUAGAAGCAGCCACUCAUUCAAAGAGUGCGUAAUAGCUCACUGGUCGAGUGAUCCUGCGCCGAAGAUUUCCGGGGCUAAAACUUACUACCGAAGCUACGGCAUCAGUAAUGAUGGGUAGGGGAGCUUCCCAUACGGGUUGAAGCAUGACCGUAAGGACAUGUGGACAGUAUGGGAGUGAGAAUGUUGGCAUGAGUAGCGAGAUGUGGGUGAGAAUCCCACAGGCCGUAAACCCAAGGUUUCCAGGGGAAGGUUCGUCCGCCCUGGGUUAGUCGGGACCUAAGCUGAGGCCGAAAGGCGUAGGUGAUGGACAACAGGUUGAUAUUCCUGUACUACCGAUAACCGUUUGAGAGA
Molecule: ribosomal RNA, 620 nt
Filed under: Clostridioides difficile
Lineage: Bacteria; Bacillati; Bacillota; Clostridia; Peptostreptococcales; Peptostreptococcaceae
Description: partial 23S ribosomal RNA
Rfam family: Bacterial large subunit ribosomal RNA
Source: RNAcentral